GUACACGCUGUGACUAGCAUAUCAAUAAGCGGAGGAAAAGAAACUAACAAGGAUUCCCCUAGUAACGGCGAGUGAAGCGGGAAGAGCUCAAAUUUGAAAUCUUAAAGGGUUUCCCUUUACGAAUUGUAGUUUAAAGAAGUGUUUUCUGUUGAGGUUUUGGUAAAAGUUCUUUGGAAUAGGACAUCAUAGAGGGUGAGAAUCCCGUAUUUGACCUUUACUUUCAACUUUGUGAUACACUUUCAAAGAGUCGGAUUGUUUGGGAAUGCAGUCCAAAAUGGGUGGUAAAUUUCAUCUAAAGCUAAAUAUUGGCGAGAGACCGAUAGCGAACAAGUACCGUGAGGGAAAGAUGAAAAGAACUUUGAAAAGAGAGUUAAACAGUACGUGAAAUUGUCAAAAGGGAAGCGUUUGACACCAGUGUUGUUUUUCUGAAAAUCAAUUAAAGAACUGUUUAUGCUAAGUUGUUUAGACUUUAUCAGCUAUCUGUUUAGUUUUGAGCUUUUCUUUAAUGCACUUUUCAGUUAACAAGUCAACAUCAAUUUCUUUUGCUGUAAAAAAGCUUGAGGAAGGUGGCUUGAGAUUCGUCUUAAGUGUUUAUAGCCUCUUGCCUAUGCAGUCGGAGAGAUUGAGGUCUGCAGCGUAGAUCCUUCGGGGCUAAAUGCAUUUGUGCUAAGUUAUAGCAUUUUAUAGACAACUUGUUGACUAUGAUUUGUCUUGUAGCUUACUCGCUUAUGUUAUUUUACCUACGCUUAGGAUGUUGACGAGACUGUCGAUCUC
Molecule: ribosomal RNA, 774 nt
Filed under: uncultured Neocallimastigales
Lineage: Eukaryota; Fungi; Neocallimastigomycota; Neocallimastigomycetes; Neocallimastigales
Description: partial large subunit ribosomal RNA
Rfam family: Eukaryotic large subunit ribosomal RNA
Source: RNAcentral